Molecule: long non-coding RNA, 497 nt
Organism: Musa acuminata AAA Group (dessert banana)
Lineage: Eukaryota; Viridiplantae; Streptophyta; Magnoliopsida; Zingiberales; Musaceae
Exons: 2
Source: RefSeq, a predicted model, not a curated record
UGUACGUAUUUCCUCCUCGCCAUUCCUCCGAGCUCGGCAACAACUACUCCUCCUGCCUCCACAGCCAGAAGAAACCAUGGGCGGCUGUGCGAGUAAACCCAAGACCACCGACGGCCAGGCCCCUGAGGUGCCGCCACCAGUAGUCGUUGCCUCAGCCCCGGCCGACGUUACCUCCACCCCCGCCGAGGCCACCGAGGCCGUGGUCGAGUCCAACGAGAACGCUGAGGAGAGCACGGAGGAACCAUCGAGCGAGGCGAAGCCCGAAGAGGCUACUGCGCCUAUUGCAGAAGGAGGCAAUCACACGGCCGAGGAGGCGAAGAGCACGGAGGAAGCGGCCACUGGGACUGCAUAGAAGCUAUACAACUCUUUCUAACGUCUGCAUGGCGAUGUACUAUUCAUGUACGUGUCGUCGUGUGGAUGCAUCAAAGCUUUAUGUUCGUCACCUGUCAUUUAGUGUGAUAAAUGUGAAAUAAAUUGUACGAGGCUAUUAUUAUUUA